Molecule: ribosomal RNA, 253 nt
Filed under: uncultured bacterium
Lineage: Bacteria
Description: partial 16S ribosomal RNA
Rfam family: Bacterial small subunit ribosomal RNA
Source: RNAcentral
UACGGAGUGGGCUAGCGUUGUUCGGAAUUACUGGGCGUAAAGCGCACGUAGGAGGACUGGAAAGUCAGGGGUGAAAUUCCGGGGCUCAACCCCGGAACUGCCUUUGAAACUCCCAGUCUUGAGGUCGAGAGAGGUGAGUGGAAUUCCGAGUGUAGAGGUGAAAUUCGUAGAUAUUCGGAGGAACACCAGUGGCGAAGGCGGCUCACUGGCUCGAUACUGACGCUGAGGUGCGAAAGCGUGGGGAGCAAACAGG